This 113-nucleotide ribosomal RNA is filed under the name uncultured Pediococcus sp. Its description in RNAcentral is "partial 16S ribosomal RNA". It matches the Rfam family "Bacterial small subunit ribosomal RNA", at positions 342 to 454 of the family's 1533-position model. Lineage: Bacteria; Bacillati; Bacillota; Bacilli; Lactobacillales; Lactobacillaceae. The record is from RNAcentral.
CGGGAGGCAGCAGUAGGGAAUCUUCCACAAUGGACGCAAGUCUGAUGGAGCAACGCCGCGUGAGUGAAGAAGGGUUUCGGCUCGUAAAGCUCUGUUGUUAAAGAAGAACGUGG